AGGGAAUCUUCCGCAAUGGACGAAAGUCUGACGGAGCAACGCCGCGUGAGUGAAGAAGGCCUUCGGGUCGUAAAACUCUGUUGCCGGGGAAGAACAAGUGCCGUUCGAAUAGGGCGGCACCUUGACGGUACCUAACCAGAAAGCCACGGCUAACUACGUGCCAGCAGCCGCGGUAAUACGUAGGGGGCAAGCGUUGUCCGGAAUUAUUGGGCGUAAAGCGCGCGCAGGCGGCUGUUUAAGUCUGGUGUUUAAUCCUGGGGCUCAACCCCGGGUCGCACUGGAAACUGGACAGCUUGAGUGCAGAAGAGGAGAGUGGAAUUCCACGUGCAGCGGUGAAAUGCGUAGAGAUGUGGAGGAACACCAGUGGCGAAGGCGACUCUCUGGGCUGUAACUGACGCUGAGGCGCGAAAGCGUGGGGAGCAAAC
Molecule: ribosomal RNA, 425 nt
Filed under: uncultured bacterium
Lineage: Bacteria
Description: bacterial SSU rRNA
Rfam family: Bacterial small subunit ribosomal RNA
Source: RNAcentral